GCCACCAUAGCUCAGAGAAUAGAGCACUGGUCUCGUAAACCAGGGGUCGCGAGUUCGAAUCUCGCUAGUGGCU
Molecule: transfer RNA, 73 nt
Filed under: Araneus ventricosus
Lineage: Eukaryota; Metazoa; Arthropoda; Arachnida; Araneae; Araneidae
Rfam family: tRNA
About the family: Transfer RNA (tRNA) molecules are approximately 80 nucleotides in length. Their secondary structure includes four short double-helical elements and three loops (D, anti-codon, and T loops).
Source: Rfam by way of RNAcentral